GACGAACGCUGGCGGCGUGCUUAACACAUGCAAGUCGAACGGAAAGGCCCUGCUUUUGUGGGGUGCUCGAGUGACGAACGGGUGAGUAACACGUGAGUAACCUGCCCUUGACUUUGGGAUAACUUCAGGAAACUGGGGCUAAUACCGGAUAGGAGCUCCUGCUGCCUGGUGGGGGUUGGAAAGUUUCGGCGGUUGGGGAUGGACUCGCGGCUUAUCAGCUUGUUGGUGGGGUAGUGGCUUACCAAGGCUUUGACGGGUAGCCGGCCUGAGAGGGUGACCGGCCACAUUGGGACUGAGAUACGGCCCAGACUCCUACGGGAGGCAGCAGUGGGGAAUAUUGCACAAUGGGCGGAAGCCUGAUGCAGCAACGCCGCGUGCGGGAUGACGGCCUUCGGGUUGUAAACCGCUUUCGCCUGUGACGAAGCGUGAGUGACGGUAAUGGGUAAAGAAGCACCGGCUAACUACGUG
RNAcentral lists this ribosomal RNA (468 nucleotides) under uncultured bacterium. Its description in RNAcentral is "partial 16S ribosomal RNA". It matches the Rfam family "Bacterial small subunit ribosomal RNA", at positions 28 to 507 of the family's 1533-position model. The record is from RNAcentral.